CCUACGGGUGGCAGCAGUGGGGAAUAUUGCACAAUGGGCGAAAGCCUGAUGCAGCAACGCCGCGUGAAGGAAGAAGGGUUUCGGCUCGUAAACUUCUAUCAACAGGGACGAAAGAAAUGACGGUACUUGAGGAGGAAGCCCCGGCUAACUACGUGCCAGCAGCCGCGGUAAUACGUAGGGGGCUAGCGUUAUCCGGGAUUACUGGGCGUAAAGGGUGCGUAGGUGGUUUCUUAAGUCAGAGGUGAAAGGCUACGGCUCAACCGUAGUAAGCCUUUGAAACUGGGAAACUUGAGUGCAGGAGAGGAGAGUGGAAUUCCUAGUGUAGCGGUGAAAUGCGUAGAUAUUAGGAGGAACACCAGUUGCGAAGGCGGCUCUCUGGACUGUAACUGACACUGAGGCACGAAAGCGUGGGGAGCAAACAGGAUUAGAUACCCGAGUAGUC
RNAcentral lists this ribosomal RNA (442 nucleotides) under uncultured bacterium. RNAcentral's name for it is "partial 16S ribosomal RNA". It matches the Rfam family "Bacterial small subunit ribosomal RNA", at positions 338 to 795 of the family's 1533-position model. The record is from RNAcentral.